GUUUCGUUUUUCCAAUGUUGUAAAAAUGAGUCCUUUAAUUGGUUCAUGAUUUUGUUUAUUGGAAUUCUUUCUUUUGAAGCAGUGGUGUCAGCUUGGUUGGUGAGGUCCAACACCAGCUGACUGAGAGGGCUCGUUUCUGGGCUCAGCUUGGUUGGUGAGGUCCAACACCAGCUGACUGAGAGGGCUCGUUUCUGGGCUCAGCUUGGUUGGUGAGGUCCAACACCAGCUGACUGAGAGGGCUCGUUUCUGGGCUCAGCUUGGUUGGUGAGGUCCAACACCAGCUGACUGAGAGGGCUCGUUUCUGGGCUCAGCUCCUGGGUUUGAAGUGCUUUAAAUUGCAGACUUGAAUUUGGACUUGAAUUUAGAUGUAGACAACAUUUUUAUGAUCUUUUCUGUAUUUUCA
Long non-coding RNA from Oncorhynchus tshawytscha (Chinook salmon), 403 nucleotides. The record is from Ensembl. Lineage: Eukaryota; Metazoa; Chordata; Actinopteri; Salmoniformes; Salmonidae.